AGUUUGAUCCUGGCUCAGGAUGAACGCUGGCGGCAUGCCUAAUACAUGCAAGUCGAACGAGAGGAAGGAAAGCUUGCUUUUCUGAAUCUAGUGGCGAACGGGUGAGUAACACGUAGGUAACCUGCCCAUGUGCCCGGGAUAACUUCUGGAAACGGAUGCUAAAACCGGAUAGGUAGCAGACAAGCAUUUGACUGCUAUUAAAGUGGCUAAGGCCAUGAACAUGGAUGGACCUGCGGUGCAUUAGCUAGUUGGUGAGGUAACGGCCCACCAAGGCGACGAUGCAUAGCCGGCCUGAGAGGGCGGACGGCCACAUUGGGACUGAGACACGGCCCAAACUCCUACGGGAGGCAGCAGUAGGGAAUUUUCGUCAAUGGGGGGAACCCUGAACGAGCAAUGCCGCGUGAGUGAGGAAGGUCUUCGGAUCGUAAAGCUCUGUUGUAAGAGAAAAACGACAUUCAUAGGGAAUGAUGAGUGAGUGAUGGUAUCUUACCAGAAAGUCACGGCUAACUACGUGCCAGCAGCCGCGGUAAUACGUAGGUGGCGAGCGUUAUCCGGAAUGAUUGGGCGUAAAGGGUGCGUAGGUGGCAGAACAAGUCUGGAGUAAAAGGUAUGGGCUCAACCCGUACUGGCUCUGGAAACUGUUCAGCUAGAGAACAGAAGAGGACGGCGGAACUCCAUGUGUAGCGGUAAAAUGCGUAGAUAUAUGGAAGAACACCGGUGGCGAAGGCGGCCGUCUGGUCUGUUGCUGACACUGAAGCACGAAAGCGUGGGGAGCAAAUAGGAUUAGAUACCCUAGUAGUCCACGCCGUAAACGAUGAGA
Molecule: ribosomal RNA, 820 nt
Filed under: uncultured bacterium
Lineage: Bacteria
Description: bacterial SSU rRNA
Rfam family: Bacterial small subunit ribosomal RNA
Source: RNAcentral